CUCUUGUUUCAGUUUAGUUUCUGGUUUCUUAACCAAUGGAUCUUUGACAGCUGGAGUUACAGAAACAACUGCAGGGGCUGGUUUCUGCGGUGGUUUCUGAGUUUUUUGAGCCUGCAAAAAUCAGUGGAUUAAAUCAGAUACAAAAUCUUAACUGAAUAUACAGAAAGAUAAUAAUCCCUCACAGGACUCAUCACUGAAAUGAAAUACAGUUGAACAUUUUAAAAAAUAGUGUGAUGAUAAUGAAUAUAUAUGCUCUUUGACAAAUUAUUAUCAUAUUAAUGGUCUUACAGAUUGUAUUAGUUUCUAAACAGUAAAGAUAAUAUUAAGCUUUAGAAAUAAUACAGAAGAGGGUUAGUUAAAUACCAUUUUAACAAGAUAAAAUUGUUUUUUAAAGAGCAAAAUCACAAACUAUAUGUAACCGUUAGCUUUACUCAUGAUGAAGUACAUUUAUUUCUCAUUGGGGUUUGUCAAAUACACAAGAGUUUUCUUCUUGGGGUCUAGGCAUAAGUCGACUCCUCAGUUGCUGAGGGCAAAUUAAAACACAGCUCAGAUCAUUUAUAUGGUUUUAAAUAUAGAACAGGGAGAAAAAAACUAUUGAUAAAUGAUUAAACUUUUUGAGGUUUUUCCACAUUGCAAAACUAGGCACACUAAAUCUUUAGAGAAAGUUAAUAAAUACAAAUUUCUAUGUUAUGAAAGAAUUUUCACCCACUAUUAUUUUAUAAGCAUCUUCAGUUUUAUUUUGACCAAUAACUGAUUUUUUCCUUUAUUUUAUAACUAGGUACUUGACUAAAUUUUCCUAUAAACUCUAAUCAUUUUUGAGUUUAUUUUUUAGUGUUUUCUAGGUAGAUAAUUAUAACUGUUUAUAAAUGGUUAUGUGCCAUGUUUAAGAGUAAUUUUCAGAGUCAAACACAGUUAGGAUUAAAACCCAGCAACUGGCUGGGUGCAGUGGCUCACGCCUGUAAUCCCAGCACUUUGGGAGGCUGAGGCGGGUGGUUCACUUGAGGUCAGGAGUUUGCGAACAGCCAGAACAGCCUGGCCCACAUGGUGAAACCCCGUCUCUACUAAAAAUACAGAAAUUAGCUGGGCAUGGUGGCGGGUGCCUGUAAUUCCAGCUACUCAGGAGGUUGAGGCAGGAGAAUUGCUUGAACCCAUUAGGUGGAGGUUGCAGUGAGCCGAGAUCGCACCACUGCCCUCCAGCCUGGGCAACAAGAGCAAAACUCCAUCUCAAAAAAACAACAACAGAAAAAAAAACAGCAACUAUUUUUCUAGAUACAUUACCUCAGGCAAAAUAUGUGAAUCUCUAAAAGCCUCAUUCUCUUCAUCUGUAAAAUGGUAAUAGCAUUUGUUUCAAAGGUGGGUUAUGAGGAUGAAUUAUGAUUAUGUAAGAGUUUAGCAUAGUGUCUGGAAAAUGUUGAGUGCUAACAAAAAGUUACUGUUUAUUCAUCAUUAUUAUUUACAAAGGAUAAUCAAACUGAAUCCAGAAAAAUCCAUGCAUACUGAACGGGGAAAGAUGCUUCCCGCCAGCCAUUCCAUAGUCUUUGAUAAUCUUCAUAAGCCCAUACAGUACUAUACCAGGGAAUUUAUUAACAAUUUGUCACCAUUUCUGGAAGCCAGAAUUUGGCCUAUUUUGCUCUUGUUUGGGCCUUCUUGUGUAAUCUUGGGCUACUGUUUGCCAUACUAUAUAGUUUGGGUCCUUAAAUCUCAAUUCGUAUCACUUUUUAUACUACAUACCUUCCACAUCAAAGUACACCUACCUUCAACAUCACUUAUAAAGCAACAAUUAGAUCAAGAAUAUUAAGAAUGUUCGAAGUAAUUCACUGUUGAUUACUUGAUUACUGGUACUAGCAGGAAAGCAGAGCCAUCUUAUCCUUCAUUGCAAAACCAUGUUACGAGAAUGCAUCCCUCACAGUAAAACAGAAACAUAUGGCUCCAAAACCAUGGCUUUCAAUCUUAACACUGCCUUCCACCCACAUCUAGCACUCCUGAGGUUAGACUCUGAGGACCCACCUAACUUGUAUGUUUUAACAGAUAAAGACUAAUUAUGAUGAAGCCCCAGGAAGUACUUCUGCCUGUGAGAUCAUGUUUCAAUCUUCUGCCUUCCCUGUUUUAUCCAGCCAUCUUAGAAACUGAGUAAGAAAUACCCACAACCCUUUGUCCUUUACUGGUAAUACUAGUUUAGGGAACUAGGAUAUAAUUACUGAUUCAGUUUUGUUCAACAAAGGUACUAAAAUUUUCAUUGGAUGACUGCUUCAAACAUUGCAAAAUGUAUAAAAUUCUCCACUAAGGCACUAACUGCCAGAAUGGCAGUACUAAAAACCCCACCUAUUUCUAAAUGCUGCAAAAUAGGAGUGUGUUACUACCUUAGAUUGAGAACCACUGCAAUAAGUGAUAUGAGUCUCUCACCUGAAGCUGGGGAAAAACUCCACUACUGCGUAGAGAGAAAACUAUAGAACUGAAGAAUAACCUUGGACCCUGCCAUACACGAUCACAACAUUCUUAACUAGGUCUUCCUACAAUGAUGUGUACCGCAGAACUUGCCCCAGUUUGAGGAAUCUGUUUGAGGAGAAAGGGGAUAUCAGGUCCUAUUUAUAAUAUCUUUGAGAUACCUUGGAACAAUAACCAAUGCACAUAUGAGAAUCUCACUCAAAGCAAUUAUAGUUAGAAUGACUGUAUUUAGAAUCCCCACUGUUCCAAAAUUAUCUCAUUAAACCUUACAUUUCCUGGAUUCUGAUCUUUAGGCUCACUUCAGAUCAUGUCUUUUGGUAUUUCCCCACAUUUGCUCUUGGUGUAUUCUAGUCAUGUUAUAAUAUUAGCCAUGACUCCCCAUUUAGUACUUUGACUUCUGGACACACAGACCAGAUUCACUGUUGAUUUCUGGUACUAAUCUGCAUUUAGCCUGGCAUGGUGGCUCAUGCCUAUAAUCCCAGCACUUUGGGAGGCCGAGGCAGGAGGAUCACUUGAGGUCAGGAGUUCGAGACCAGCCCUGGCAAUGUAGCAAGACUCCAUCUCUACAAAAAAUAAAAAAAAAAUUAGCUAGGCCUGGUGGCACAUGCCUGUAGUCCCAGCUACUUGGGAGGCUGAGGUGGGAGGAUUGCUUGAGCCUGGGAGGUCAAGGCUGCAGUGAGCCAUGGUCAUGCUACUGCACUCCAGCCUAGAAAACAGAGUGAGACCCUGUCUCAGAAAAAGAAAAAAAUUACAUUUGCUUCAUUUUAUUUAACUUAAGAACAACAGAAUGUAGAAUGUGUCCAGUCUUGAGCUCUGCUUAAGUGCUAUGCCAAUGAAUACAUGCUCUUACUGAUAAAUUAGAUAUUAUUUGCAAAGCAGAUAAAAGAAUAAACAGUAUCCCAGAUGAAGAGAAGAAGCUGAGAAGCAGAAAAUAUGGGAACAUGAAAGUUCUCCACAUAUUCAGGGAAUGACACACUUAGUCUGUGUCAGAGUGGCCAGAGUGUAUGAAUGUGUAUGCUGAAGCAGUGAGAGAGAGGGCUGUAAGGUAGAGUCGGGUCAAAAAGAGAAGGUCCAUAUAUGCAUCCUAAUGAGUAUAAUCUCAUUAUAUAAGUAAUUGAGAGCCACUGGGCAUAUAUAAGUAGGUAAAUAUUUUAGAAGAAUUCUAAUGAUAGUAAGCAAAGUGGAUUGAUAGGAGGCAAGGAGAUUUAUUAAGUGGCUAUUGCAAUAGACAAGUAAUGGAUUUGUGGAACAGGGUAAUAAAAGAGAAAUGAAUAGAUUUCAGAGACAUAUAAGAGGUAGAAUUAGCAAAUCUGGUAAACAAUGGGAUAUGGAAUUAAAAGAGGCAUCAAAGAUGUUUUCUAAUUCAGGCAAUUGCAGAAAAAAAAAACUGGAUAAUAGAACAACUUUCACUUUUAAAUAUAUUGACCUUAAAGUAUCUAUAGACUAUCUAGUUAGCUAUAGAAGCUCACCCAGGAAGAGGGUUAGAACCAUAAACAUAGAUUUGACAUAAAUCAGAAAAAAUGGAGGAGAAAAAACUUGGGGGAAGAACAGUGCUUACUUUAGAUAUUAAAGGAGCUAAAGUGAUAAUAAUAAUGAAACAGUUGAGUACAUACUAAAGAAAGAUAGAUUAUUGUCACAAUUUGUUUCUUUUGACAAUUUCCAAUUCUUAGUGGUUUCUUAUCAAUGCUCUGGAAUGCAUUGCUCAUCUGUAAUAAUUUCACUUGAGAUCCUGGAGGGCUAGUUUAAAUAAUAAAUUAAAUAAAAACCAAACUGAGCAGAACAGAUUGUAACUUGUCAUAGAAAUUUCCUGUUACAAGUAAGAAAUAUACACACUAUUGAUAUACACACUUUUCAUUUACUACUUUUUAUUUCAUAGGAAUAAAUAAAAACACUUCCUAUUUCUGAUUUAACUGAUUAAAAAGUAAAAUGGGUAUCCCGAGUUUUUACUUUUAACUAAGUACUUCUGACCUUUAAAAGAUAUAUUGGUUAGACAAAUUUAUAUAGAAAUUCAUUUGAUUAACAGACAUGAGAACUCUGCAAUUGAGAAUCACUAAUUUAAGGCAGGGGAAGAGAGAUGGAAGUGGGAGGGAGAGGUGGAGAAUAAGACAUUAUGGCAAUUUCUUGUUUUCUUUAAAAGAAAAAUUAUGAAAUUCAUUUAUCAUUUAUCUAUUUUAUAAGUGAAUAAAAGUUAGAAAACUAUCCAAUAUAACAAAUGAAAAGAUAUUUCACUAUGAUAUUAAAGGCAGGUAUGUUAGUCAACAGUAAAAAGAGAAAGUACAUAGGAAGAAUGAGGUAAUGGUCACUUGAGGACAAUGAGAAGGAAAGACUAAGCAACAGAGAAAUGCAGCUGGAAAGACAGAUAUGCACAUAUAAAUAUCGCCUCUGUACACAUCUUAUCCAUGCGGUGGUUUAAGCUCACUCAGAAAUUUUCUAUAUUUCCUUACCAGAUCUCAACAAAGAGUGGGGCUUUGUAUCUCACCACUUCUCAGUGCUGCAUGGUAUUUUAAAAUGUUUGUCAAUACAUUGACAGACUAGUAAGGAAUAUUCAUAAUUUGUGUGUCACCAAUCUUGUUUUAUCUAUAUUAGAAUUAGAUAAAACUAAAAAGAGAAAAAUGCACAUAACAUGGUCUGGUCUUUAGCAAUAGAAAUAUUAAUCACAUGUACAUACUAUACAUAUAAAUAAAUAAUCAGCUUAUAUUAUUUAUUUUUUCAAUAUCUUAAAUAUUCAAAUCUUUGUUUUGAAAGCACAUACCAACAAAAACAUUGACAGACUGUUUAAAAUAAAGAAAAAUAUGAUUCCUACCAUUCUUUUCAUUUGUCUGGUACAUCGGGCACAAUACCACACCAGGCGAGGGUCAUUCGCUUCCUUGUCUGUCACCUGGGGUUUAUGACAAUCUCGGUGGUAGAGAUUAUGGCACUCCUGACAUUCUACUAAUUGAUUGCCAGAUGCCACCAUCAUUUGCCUAAGAAAACAUACCAUUAAACAUUACACUACUUUUUUAAAUGCCAUAAUUUAAAGUUAUUUCAGGGGCCAGGUGUGCUGGCUCAUGCCUGUAAUCCCAGCACUUUGGGAGGCCAAGGCAGGCGGAUCAUUUGAAGUCAGGAGUUCAAGACCAGCCUGGCUGACACGGUGAAACCCUGUCUCUACUAAAAAUACAAAAAUCAGCUGGGCAUGGUGGUACACACCUAUAAUCCCCACUACUCAGGAGGCUGAGGCAGGAGAAUCGCUUGAACCCAGGAGAUGGACGCUGCAGUGAGCCAAGAUCAUGCCACUGCACUCCAGCCUUGGUGACAGAGUAAGACUCUGUCUCAAAAAAAAAAAAAAAAAAAAAAAGUUAUUUCCAGGUUGUUCUGGUAAAGUUUGGUAUAUUAAAAAGAAAAAAAAUCCCAGAAACCCAAAGAGCAAAUAACAAACCCCAACACUUGGCAUGCACAAAAGCAUAAGCUUUUAAAGCUUAUGGUCAACCAUUAAUAAAUAUAUAGAAUGCCUUAAUUAAAUUUGGCUAUUUUCUCGUCAUUUCUCGUCAUAAUUUUUGCCUUUCUCUCAGAAGGUAGUAGACUCUGAUUAGUCUUCCAACAGCCUCAUAACAUUUUGUAUCUCCAUUAAAUUCCCUUAUAUUAGUUAGCUGUAUGUUGUUGUUGUUCUUCAUUAAUAUGAGUCACCUAAAGGUGAGUACUGGACCUAAUUAUCCACAGUCCUUAGCACAUUACUGUGCACACAUAGGGUGCUCAAUAAAUGUCUGAUCAGAUUAAUAGAAUGAAGCCAUGUGUGUAUAAAAAAGUAUAAAUUUCAACAGCACAAAAAGCAAUCACCAUAGCCUUAGAUUAUCAAAGGCAUAUAUAUCAUAAUAUAAUAAUCACUUUCCCUCUGGAACCCAAAAAUGCAGAAAAUGUUACAACAUAACAGAUUUAAAAGCCAUAGUUGGGAAAGACAAAAUAGUUGACAAUUUUCAAUAUGCUAAAUUGUUAUAUGGGCAGUUACCUACUUAUCUCCACCCCAGUUCCAAAUAGUAAAAACAAAAUAGAAAAUGCACAACAAUUUUUCUGAUUUUGGGGGUUGAGGAGUGGAAAGGGUCAUGUGUUCUUUAUAAAGUAACAAAAGAAUCUGUGGCAAGGUACAACUUACCUACAAACAACGCAGGCCAAUCCCAUCUCCAUGGCAAAAUCAUCAGCACUGGUCUCCUCAAAACUGGAAAGGUCAGCCAUAGGUAAAUCCUUGCUACUUUGGACAGUAAUGGGAGAUGACUGUGUUUCUGGUUUCUCCAAUCUAGGUUUCUUUGGAAUAUCAACUCCUUCAGUGAUGUCUGAUUUCAUCUAUAAAAAGCAGGCAUCAGAAAAUGAUAAAGUAAUGUGGUAGAAUAAACUUUAAGUCACUGAAAGACGAGUGAGAAGGACAAUUGGCAAUGAACAAGUCCAUUUUACAGAUAUAUUCACAUAGUUAGGGACAGAUGUGCACAUUAAAGAUCUGUAGAAGAAUUGCAAUGAAUUUAUUAGUAUAUUAAAUGAAACCAGCAAGAUAGAAAUAAAUAAAUCAGAACAGUUUAACAAAUAUUUGUAUUUCUCUUUGUACUCUUCUAUCUACUAAAGAAUUAUGGAAGAUCGAUGGAUUUACUUAGACUAGUAUCUACCAUACAGACUUAACACAUAUUUGCUUCAAAGCAAAUUCGGAUUCCCUUCUUUAAGAUAUAAAUAUUAUCAAUAUACCCAUUAGAUUUGGCAAAAAUCAAAAAGUCUGAUAAGACAUGGAAUUUGGAAUUCUUAUACUUUGUUGAUGACAGUGUAAAUUUAGUACAUCUACUUUUGAUAGAAAUUUGGCAAUGCCUAGUAAUGUUGAAGAUGUCAUAUCCUAUUAUAUUCACUUAUAGGUAUACAUCCUAUAGAAACUAUUAACAUGACAUAUGUAUAAAGUAGCUCACUCAAACUCCAUUGUAAUAGAAACAAAGGAGAAAUAUCUAAUUGUGCAUCAGUAGGGGAAUGAUAAACUGGUUAAUCAUUCCCCUAUGAUAAAUCAGUAGGGGAAUGAUAAACUGGUAUUAUGUAGUAGCUAAAAGAAAUCUAGAUCUACAUGCAUUAACAAAGAUACAUUUCAAAAGCACAUAGUUGAGUGGAGAAAAAGUUACCAAAGGAUAUACACACACACAGUAUGAUAACAUUUACAUAAUUUUUUUUUUAAGACAGAGUCUUGCAGUGUUGCCCAGGCUGGAGUGCAGUGGCACAAUCUCUGCUCACUGUAACCUCCGCCUGCUGGGUUAGAGUGAUUCUCACGUCUCAGCCUCCUGAGGUGCUGGAACUACAGGUGUGCGCCACCACACCUGGCUAAUUUUUGUAUUUUUAGUAGAGAGGGGGUUUUGCCAUGUUGGCCAGGGUGGCCAACUCCCGACCUGCUGACCUCAAGUGAUCCUCCUGCCUUGACCUCCCAAAGUGCUGGGAUUACAGGCAUGAGCCACCACACCCAGCUUCACUUAUGUAGAUCUAAAAACAGAGAAAUAAUCUAAUGUAGUUUAUGAAUAGCCACUAUUUAGCAAAAGUAUGAAAACAUACGGGAUAAUAUACUCCAUCUUGAGGGCAAGGGUUACUGAAGAUAUCUUUCAAAUGUAUUUUUUUCUAACUACUAAAAUCUUAAUUACUAUAUGUAGAAAUCAUCUAAAAAUAGACAAUCCAAGAAUCAUCUUUGGCACUGUUCAGGUGCAUACCACUCUAUAAAGUUUAUGUUUAGUCAUUUACAUCUAUACUCUUUCCCAUCUUUUCUUUCUUGCUUUCCUUUUUUUUUGAGACAGCGCCUCACUCUGUCACCCAGGCUGGAGUGCAGUGGCACGAUCACCGCUCACUGCAAUCUCUGCCUCCUGGGCUCAAGCAAUCCUCCCACCCCCCACCCGCCCACAAACAGCUGGGACUACAGGUGCAUGCCACCACACCCAGAUGAUUUUUGUAUUUUUUGUAGAGAUGGGGUUUCAUCAUGUUGCCCAGGCUGAUCUUGAACUCCUGAGCUCAAGCAGUCUACCUGCCUCGGCCUCCCAAAGUGUAUCUAUCUUUUCUUCUUAACAACUGUUCCAUCUAGGAUCUCUGAGGCAUAGAUUAAAGUUUACACUCAAAGUUACUAUACUCCCUAGGACUCAAAUAUUUAUUGACAAUAACUUUUAACCACUUAACUUUAAAAUUUGUAAAUUUUACUCAUUUUUUGAAAAGUCAAAAUCUAUAGCUAUCAAUAUAUAUUCACUGAGUGUUGAUUAUUAUAUACCUAUACCCAUUAUUAUAUAAAAGAAAUAGGCAUAAAACAUUGUUUCUUUCUGCUUAUGGAACAACUAAUUUACUUUCUUUUAACAAGAUUAAAAUAAAAUCUUACUUUAUCAGCAGGUCUCUUUUCAGCUUCCUUCUUUACCUUUUCAGUUGUGAGGACCUUGCCAUUAUUAUUACCAGAAGGAAGACUGGAUGAUAUUUUGGGCUCUUGCUUAAUGGAAAUGUUUUUUGUGCUUGAAAUUUUGGGUGGCUCCACAUCCUAAAAGAUGAAAAAAGGUACCAGUAAUUAAAUAUUUAGACUGAUCAUCAUAAAAAAAGAUCAUUAAUAUAAACAAUUUUCAGUUAAAAAUUAAGACAUUUCAUUAUAACCAAUGUAAUAUUCCUUUCUUAAAUAGUUAAAUAGCUUUAUUGAGAAAUAAUUGAUAUACAAACUGUACCUUUUUUAUUUUUAUUUUUUGGGACAGAGUCUCACUCUGUUGCCCAGGCUGGAGUGGAGUGCUGUGGCACAGUCUUGGCUCACUGCAACCUCUGCCUCCUGGGUUCAAGUGAUUCUCCUGCCUCAGCCUCCCGUGUAUCUGGGACUACAGGUGCACCACCACACCCGGCUGAUUUUUGUAGUUUCAGUACAGAUGGCGUUUCACCAUGUUGGCCACACUGGUCUCAAACUCCGGCCUCAAAUGAUCCGCCCACCUCGGCCUCCCAAAGUGCUGGGAUUAAAGACGUGUACCACCACACCUGGCCCAAACUACACCUACUUAAAGUGUAACAUUUGAUAAGUUUUGACAUAUGUAUACGUCUGUGACACCAUCACUACAAUCAACAUAAUGAACAUAUCCAUCAUCUCUCCAAAUUUCCUUGUGGCCCUUUGUAAUUACUCUCUUACAGGUAUACACCCUAUAGAAAAAUAUGUCUCCCAUCAUCAAGCAAGAAAAAUAUGUCUCCCAUCAUCAGGCAUAUAGAAAAAUAUGUCUCCCAUCAUCAUCAUCACUUAUCUGUUUUCUGUAACAAUACAUUAGUUUGCAUUUCCUAGAAAUUUAUAUAAAUGGAAUCAUAUUCUUUUUUGGUCUGGCUUCUUCUACUCAGCAUAUUUAUUUUGAGAUUCAUCCAUGUUGUUUAGUGUAUCAAUAGUUAAUUCCUUUUUAUUGCUGAAUAAUAUUCCAUUGAAUGAAUAGACUACAAUUUAUUUAUCAAUUUACCUAUUGAUGGAUAUUUGGGUUGUCUGCAGUUUGGGACUAUUACAAAUAAAGCUGUUAUGAAUAUUCAUGUACAAGUAUUUAUAUAUAUAUCUAUGUUUUUAUUUCUCUAGAAAAAAUAGGAGUGGGUUAUAUGGUAAGUAUUAAUAUAUGCUUAAUUACUUGAGAAACUGCCAAACUGUGGCAGUACCAUUUUAUAUUUCCACCAAGCAUAUAUGAGAGAGUUCCAGUUCCUUCCCAUCCUCACCAAUGCUUUGUAUGGCUACUCUUUUUAAAUUGUAGAUGUUCUAAUAGGUAUGUAGUGAUAUCUCAUUUAGAUUUAAUUUAAAUUUCCCCAGUAACUAAUGAUGUUGAGCAGCUUUUCAAGUGUUCAUAUGGCAUACAUAUAUCUUCUUUGGUAAACUAUUUGAUAAAAUAUUUUGCCCAUUUAAAAGAAAUGAAUCUGUUUGUUUUAUUACUAAGUUAAAAGAGUUCUUCAUAGAUUUUGGGCACAAGGCCUUUAUCAGAUAUAUGAUUUGCAAAUAUUUUCUCUCAGUCUGUGGCUUGUCUUUUCAUUCUGUUUAAAUUCAAUUCCUUAUUCAUGUAUUAUAGCUUUGCUGAUAUAGAUAACUUGUUAUUUGUUGUCAUUAAUAGUAUGCAUAAACUUUGGCAGCUCUUGGAAUUCCCCCUCCCCCAAAAGGAGGGCACUUUCCCAUCAUUCUAAACAAAACUAAGGCAGCUGAGUGCAGUCUAUUUUACUGUGAUAAUAUGUAAAAGUACAAAAGUAUAAAUGGGAAUAAUACACAACAAUUUCAGAAUAGUGGUUACCUCUGAGGGGGGAAGAGAAGAAAAAGGAAGGAGGAAUGGGUCCUCAGAUCUAGUGGUGGCAGGGCUUGAUAUAUUAUUAUGCUGAUUGUUUAGACAACGGGUUAGCAAACUGAGGCCUAUAAAUAGUUUUUUAUAAACAGUUAUAUUAGAACACAGCCACACCCAUUCAUUUUAUAAUGUAUGGCUGCGUUCACAUUACCAUGGCAGAAUUAAAUAGUUGCAAUGGAGACCAUCUGGCACACAAAAUCUAGAAUUCUUACUAUUUGGCUCUUUAUAAAGUCUGUUGAUCACUGGUGUAGACUUAGUAAAGUGUUGAAGAAAAUGUUAAUAAUGCAGAUUAAACUUAAAAAUGUGUGGUGGGCAGGUGUGGUGACACAUGCCUGUAAUCCCAGCACUUUGGGAAGCCAAGGUGGGCAGAUCACUUGAGUCCAGGAGUUUGAGACCAACCUGGGCAACAUGGCAAAAUGCUGUCUCCACAAAAUAUAAAAAAAUUAGCCAAGCAUGGUGGCAUGCACCUGUAGUCUUAGCUACUCAAGAGGCUGAAGUGGGAGGAUUGCUUGAACCUGGGAGGGAGAGAGCGCAGUGAGCCAAGAUUGUGCCACUGCACUCCAGCCUGGGUAACACAGUGAGACCCUGUCUCAACAAAAAACAACAGAAAAACAAAAACGUGUAUUGUGUGUAACUAAAAAAUUGAAGACAAAGUCAUGCAGUAUUAAACUAUUACCUAAUUCAGCAAAAAAGUUGUUCUAGUUGUUGACGGAUGAGUUAAGUUUUAACUCCAUUAUUUCACAUUUGCCUUCCUCAUUAAUGUAAAUGAAUAUCAACCAAUAUUCAUGUUAGAAUACACUUGGAGACCUGGUAAUGUUAGUAAGCAUUACCUCCAGGUGAUUCUUAUCCAUGCUAAAGUUUGAGAAACACUGGCAUAAAUCACUCUUCUUACACAAAUCUAGUGAUGAAAAUAUUCAGCUGAAGGCUAAAAUUAAAUGGACCUGGGCUUUAAAAACCUAUAACAAAGUAGUUUCUGAAAACUGAUCAAGAGAAAUGAACUCUAGCUAGAAACCUAAGGGCAGCGUGCUUUUUAAUCACAACAAAUUUUUCAUGUUCUUUAAGAGAUAAACUUCCAUUUUAGAACCCCAUUAAAACAAUUUUUUUUCUUUAGUAAUAAUAGGUUUCCCUAUCUGGACAAUACCAACACCCACAGUGGAAUGAAUUUGGUAGUAUGUUUUGUAGAGCCAUAUUGAUUUGGUCGAUCUGAACUCACUGAACCUACUGCAAUGAGAAUGGAUAGAAGAAAUGAAGUCACAAUGGUUCUGCUAUUCAAAAUACAAUAAAAAGGCUUCGGAGUACUAGACCUAGUAUUGAAAGAAGGCUGGGGACAAAAUGCCAGUGUUUACUUGGGCUCUGAGCCUGGGACUAGAUCCUCUCUUGAGCUUCAGAUUCUGGUUAGACUUGAGCUAGUCAUGUUCUAUUUUCUCCUUCUCAGUUUGGGAUCUAAGUCCACAGACCUGAGUGAUUUGGAGUUUGAGGGUCAGAGCUUAGAAGGAUUUGAUAGAAUGUCUUAGUAGGUAUUAGGGAAUAUAAUAAGAGUUGUCAUUCAGUGACAGCCUAUUAUGUACCAGGCAGGUACUACACUAGGUAACUCAUUUACUGGAUCUCCUUCAAUUUUUACAACUCUGCAAAGUAGUUCUUAUUAUCCCCAUUUUACCAAUAAACAGACUAAGUGAAAUGAAGUUUCUAUGUACCUCAGUUUCCUUAUGUAAAAUGAAGAAAACAGUUAUCUAUCUUAAAGGAUCAUUAUCAUAAUUAAAAUUAAUUAUUCACAUAAACUACUCAGAAAAGUGCCUGGGACAUCAAGAUACGUUGUCUAUUAUCAUCACACAAUUAUAAGAUUUAAGUGGGAUUUAAAACAGGUGUGUUUGGUAUCAAAACAUAUAUUCUUUUCACAUAAAGCUGCCAUUGGCUGCUUUGUUAUUAUCAAGACAGGAGCUACACAGUUCUCAGAGUUCAUCCAUACCUCCUUUUCUCUUAAAUUAUCCUACCCAUAUUCAAUUUAUUUUGUUGAAAGAUCUGUCCUUUUACUUGAUUUUUUUUAAUCCUUAAAAUAUUAGGCAAUAAUUAGAAGUAAGUUGUGGUUACAUUCAGCAGCUUAAAAAAAAUUCUGAUCACAAAGAAUCGGAAAUUAAAGUAAGUCGUAAACAAGUGAAUUCAUAUACACAUAAAGUAGUAGAACAGAAUAUCCUGCACCCCCAGCUGAUUUUUCUAUGUGGUGUAACAGUUCUCUGAAAACUUGAAGGGAAAAAAGAAAAUAAAGAAUAUAAUUUCUUCAUGCUACAAGGAAAGAUUAUUUCGGCAGAGAUUGUUUUGAGAUGGUCUAUAUGUUAUCAAUGUAGUACUACAGGCCUUACAAAACUCUCUCCAAGCUUUUUAUUCAUUCAAGUACCUUUUGAGAUGGACGGUAACUGGAAUCAAUGCCCCGAGCCAAAGAUUCAUCAAGCAGUGCUUUUAGCUUUUCAGCAGAAUCUUUACUCUUUGAAUGCAAGAAACCUAGUGCUUUCAAAAAAAUGGGAUCAAGUUCCAAGUUCACAGUAGCAGCCAUUGCAAACGCCUGAAGGAAAAAAAGAGAAAGUAAUCUAGAAGACAAUGCACAAUUAUCUAUGUUAAAGUUUUACUUUUCUGUUUUUUAAUUUGUAAUAGAUAAUACUGUACACAUGAUAUAAAAUUUAAAAUCACCAAAAAGUUAUUACAAAUAAAAGUAAAUUUCCUUCUUAUUCCUGACAGGCAUUAUCUAGUUCCUUCCCCCUGAAACAACUAGCAGUAUCAGUUUUCUGUGUAUCCAUAUCGAUGGUAACGUUUUAAAUCCAGGUAGGCCUCUCCCUGCCACAGAACUCCUUCCUAACUGUGUUUUAAAAGAUACACUUCGCAGUUUCAGUACAUAGAACUUGAUGGGUUUACGUCAAGUUUACUCUGUAUCAAAAUUUCUUCUCUCAAACCUUAUUUCCAUAACACAAGGGAAGACUUAGUGUGCAGGUGUUUGUGUGUGUAAGGGCUAUCGUAAGAGGGCAAUGGUGAAAAGGUAUAUUAAGUGAUUAGCUAUCAUGGUCACUGCUGCCACUUUUACCUCAACUCUUUUUUUUUUUUUUUCUAAACUCACCUCUUCAGUUCUCUGCCCCAACCCUAAAUGUCUCAGAAAACAUAUUAAUGAUAACCUUAUUUGAUCACAUUUAGAUUGUGGUAUCUCAUGCAUUAACCUAUUUUUAAAAGUAAGGUCUCUGAGGGAUAAUAUCAUAUCUACUUAAAACACACACACACACACACACACACACACACACACACACAGAGCCUAUGAUGCUUUGUGUCCUAAAGAGCUUAAAAAAUAGCCAAGAUGGAUAAAGAUAUACAUCAAAGGCUUAUGAAAUUCCACAAUACUAAAAAGUUUUGUUUUUAGUUAAUACCAAUGCUAUCAUGUGGUUCUGCUUCUGGUUGUCACUUUUUCAAAGACCUCUCCAGGCAAGAAAUUAUCAAAAUAAAAAUGUAUUCUUUGUGUUCAAUCCUUUGAUCAAUAUACUAUGGCUUGAAAUCUUCUAUCCUUGAGGUUAAUAUUGUAUUAAUGCAGCACACUUGCAUUGCUAUAGUUAGGGAACUGUCAGCAAUUCCACAGUUAUCUCCCAUUUUCAGGGGUUUAUAACACCAUUAAAACUUGCUGUAGGUUGAAUCCUAGCAUAUGAAAGCACAUCUGAAAAUGGAUUUUGUUGUCCCCUCCCCUCCAGCUUCACUCCUCAUCCUUCUCCACAUCUGACAAGAAACACACAUACACAUCCCUAGGCUUUUUUUUUUUUUUUUUUAAGUUCCCAGGAAGGUAUUAGUUAUCUACCUGAUAACUACAAAAUUACUGUCGAAUUCUGUACUGUACUAAAAUAUCAUCUGAAUCACCCAUGGAAAGGAAUCCAAAGGCCAGUACUAUAAUGAAAAAGUAACCUUAUCUCAAACUGUUGUAUUUCUAAGAAUUUAACAAAAUUGAAAAGCAGCCUCUGUCACUUCUUAAAAUUAUAUUAUUAUAUACAUCACCUCUACAUAAUGAUAGGUACAGAAAAAUUAUUUUAAAAUUUACUCAUGGGGCUGGUCACCAUGUACGUUCUGAGGAAAAAAUAGCUCCUUAAUAAAAUUUCCAAGAUUAAAAGGGUAAACCUGCCAUUCCCCCAGCAUAUACAAGGGUAACAGCCUAAUCUCUUUUUUUUCUUUAAAUUCCACUCCUGUGACAGUUUACUAAUCUUUCUACUGAUUUUAUUUCAUAUAGGUAAAGGAAAUAGCAGUUUACUUAUCCAGAUUGUUAUAAAACAAUUUAUUUUAUUGGGUGCUGACCAAAGGGUUGACACCUAAAAGAACCCUUGUAAUAUAUUAGAAAAACCAUUUCUUGAAAUUUCUAUGCUGAAAAAUGAAAGCCAAGUAUUUAUUGCUAUGUAUUUCUACAAUCACAGGUAAGAGGUUUACAUUACAGAUUAGGUGACAAGAGUCAGCACCUAGAUUACAAGACUGCGGAAGUCAUCAACACCAACAUUCCAGUUGGAACCUUGGAGUCAGUUCUUUUUAUGCAAUCUUGCCAUUAUAAAACUUAACAGGCUUUGUACCCCUCCCCUAAAUUACUAACAUGGCCCUUUGACCCAGUGGUCCCCAUGGUGGAAUACAGAGAAAAAAAUAUUAACUUUUUAAUUUAUUUCUAUUUCUUUUUUUUUUUUUUUUUUUUUUUGAGACAGAGUCUCGCUCUGUCGCCCAGGCUGGAGUGCAGUGGCAUGAUCUCGGCUCAUGGCAAGCUCCGCCUCACGGGUUCAUGCCAUUCUCCUGCCUCAGCCUCCCGAGUAGCUGGGACUACAGGCGCCCGCCACCACACCCGGCUAAUUUUUUGUAUUUUUUAGUACAGACGGGGUUUCAUCAUGUUAGCCAGGAUGGUCUCGAUCUCCUGACCUUGUGAUCCACCCGCCUCGGCCUCCCAAAGUGCUGGGAUUACAGGCGUGAGCCACCGCGCCCAGCCAAUUUAUUUCUAUUUCUAUUUAUUUUUUAAAAAUCUAUUCAUAUACAGAGUGAUAAUAGUGUGUUAUAUAAUUGAUCUUUAACCUCAAGGAGCUUUAUCUUCAGCCAGUGAAAUCUGAAACUUGCCACAACUAUUGUCCUCUUUUAUUACAAUCAAUUCUCCUUUCUGACUACAAUCUUCCAUUACUCUAUCUCUUCCACUGCCUUAAUCCAGGGACCUCUUCAAAGUGCCAAGUCAAUCUUUCUUCUGUAUUUAUUCAUUUCUCUAUUCCCAUUCUACUUGUUCUUUGUUACAGAAGCCUCCAAUUUCUUGUCCCUUCUGCUUUCUCCUUAUUGGCACCCUCUUGCCCUGACUUUUGUUUCCUCACCAAACAGAAAACAGUAGUUGAACCUAAAAUAAAACACUUAUGGUUAUGUGGUUUAUAUUUUAUAUUUUAGUUUUCUAUCUUACCUUUACUCCCCCUUUUCUGUUGCCUUCUCUAAUCUCUGUUACUUUUCCUUCCUUACCGGCAAAUAUCCAUAUAGUGAAAGAAGUUUACUUUCUACAGCAGUCAUAAAGAGGUCAGCAACUUGGUGUAACUGUGUUGAUCUACACAUACAAAAAUAUUUUCCUGGAGUUACACCAAAUCAUGUUACUUCUAUACAAUUCCUUUCCUGUAUAUUCAUUCCUAAACCCAUGGCCAAAACAGACUGCAAAAGAGCCAUAUCAUUCUUACUAUGGAUUAGAGUUCUAGAAAACAAAGUCCUGUGUGUGUGUAUGAAAGAAAAAUGUAUAUAUGAAAGAUAUUUAAUAUAUUAAAUGUAGGUUUCAUUUAAAAAGUAGAUGUUGCUUUCAAAAAGGAGAAUGUGAGAAAAUUAAUAUUUACCACUUUAAAGCUUUCGCUGACCUAGGGAAGUGGUAGUAGUAGUAUUGAUAGGAGUGAAUUCUUAGGUGAUGCUGGGAAUUAGCUGUGUCAAAUGCAUAUAGCACAAAAAUCGCCAUUACUGAACAAUGAUCUUUUUUCUGUAUCUCUUAUUAUCCUUGAUUUAUUGCAGUAUGCCGUUUACUUCCUAUCCAGCUCACAUUCUGUGGUCCACCCUUUCAAUACCUCUUUCAGUACUCUAGGCACCCGAAAGCCCUGUAGUUUCCCUACUUUAUAGACAUCCACCCUGCUAGCCAUUCUCUCUCUGCCUGCACCCAAACUCUAAGUGCAACUGGGAGGAAUAUACAUACAUUCUAUCUUCAGAAUCACCAUUCUCAGCUUGGCGUUCAGUACAACUUGGCAAUUCUCUCAUCCUUCUCUGGUCAACUCACUUCCCCACUUUCUGCAAAGAUCAGUUAUACUUCCUCCAUUUUCUUUUAAAAUUGCUUCUGUGUUUCAGUAGAUGGCCUCACCUACUUCACAAAGAGAGGCUGUCAGAGAGGAAUUAAGUCGACUUCCUUCCAGCACAUCUACAAACUUACCUGCACUCAUCCUUUCCUCUUUCCCAUCUGAUAAAAAAGGAGAAGGUAGCUCUCUAUGUAGUGUCACCUGGAUCUGGAUCCUAUCUCUUCUUGUCCCCUCUUGAACCUUGGCCUAUGGAUUAUUUCCCAUAUCUUCUUUUUUUUUUUUUCAGCCUUUCUACUGGCAUCUUUUCAUUGACAUUAAAUAUAUUCAAACAUCUUCUAUCUUUUCUCUUUUAUAGCAAAACGUUCUCAGAAAUCAUAUGCUUUUGUACUCUUUUUCUUCAUUCCUUCUAUUUACACAGCAAUUCUUGCAAUUCAGCCUUUGUCCCACUAUUCCAUGAAAAUGCUCUCAUGAGUCAUUCGCCGCCUCAGUCAGGUAAACCUAAUACAUACGAUUGUCCCUCCUACUUCUUUGUCAGUCAUCUUUGUAGGUUCCUCCUAUCCAAUUAAAAAUGAGUUCCUCAGUGCUAGGUUCUGGGUCUCUUCUUGACUUGUUCUACAUCUUCUUCCAAAAAUGUGUUCUCUGAGUCAGCAGCAUAGGUAUCACGUCAGAACUUAGAAAUACAAACUCUUGGUCUCCAUUCCUAGGCCUACUGAAGAAAAAACUCUGGGAGUAGGGUCUAGAAAUCUGUGUUAAGCCUUCCAGGCAAUUCUAUCUACUCUAAAGUUUGGGAAUUAUUGCCCUAGACAAUUUGAUCUAUAUAGUCUUUUGCCAGUGAUUACUAAUACAUCUCUGCAGUCCAUGUGUCUCUCCCAAGAUCCAACUGCCAGCUUGACAUGGAUAUAUCAUUGGUGCCUCCUAUGCAACGUGUCUCCAACAGAGCCACUCAUACACUAUUCCCUUUUCUCCUAACCAGUUCUUCCUCUAGUAAUCCCUUUUUCAAAUGAUAUUUACCCUAUUGCCCAAGCCAGUAACCCAGAAGCAGCUUUAACUCUUCCCACUUCCUUAAUUCCCACCCCCAAUUCAAUAACCAAACCUCUUAAACAUACCUCAAAUCUAUCCACCCUUUUCAAUCCUUACUACUACCACCCUAGACCAACCUAGCAUCAUCUAUUAUCUGGCCCACUGCAAAAGCUUAAUCAGUCUCCCACAAUCACUCUUGUCAUCCCUUUAAACCUUUUCAUAUCACUCACUUGCUUAAAAUCCUUUUAUCACUUCUCACAAUCCAAAGGUUCAAGAAUAAGAUUCUUAACAAGGUCUCCAAUUCUCUACAUCAGGGGUCCCUAACCUUCAGGCCAUGCAGCAGGAGGUGAGCAGUAGGCAAGCGAGGGAAGCUUCAUUUGUAUUUACAGCCACUCCCAUCACUUGCAUUACUACCUGAGCUCUGCCUCCUGUCACAUCACUGGUGGAAUUAGAUUCUCAUAGGAAUGCGAAUCCUAUGUGAACUGUGCAUGUGUGUGAUCUACGUUGUGUGCUCCUCAUGAGAAUCUAAUGCCUGAUGAUCUGUCACAGUAUACCCCAUCAUCCCCAGAUGAAACCGUCUAGCUGCAGGAAAGCAAGCUCAAGGUUCCCACUGAUUCUACAUUAUGAAUGUAAGUUCCAUGAAGGCAGGCAGUGGAUUGGUCUUGCCUACUGUUGUAACCCCUGUCUGGCAGAGUUCCUGGAAAACAGCAAAUAACUGUAAAUGUUGGCCAAGUAAAUACUUGUUAUCUACUUCCAAUUUCAUAAAACUUUCUCUUCCCUUGAGUUCUGUUAUACUCAACUUUUCUGUUUUUCCUCUUCUAUCUCUGACUACUCUUUCUUUGGCUUAUCUUCUUUGUUGCUUUUGGUAUUGUCCAAGUAUUUGUCCUUGGCUAUCUUCUUAGUUCUGCUAGCAGUUUCUUCUUGGUAAUCUUAUACACAUCAGGUUUUCAACUAUCAUCUCUGGGUAGAUGAUUUAAUAUGUUUUACCCCAACUUCAAUCUCUUUUUUUUUUUUUUUUUUUUUGAGACAUGGUCUUGCUCUGUCACCCAGGUUGGAGUGCACUGAGAUCAUGGCUCACUGCAGCCUCGAACUCCUGGGCUCAAGUGAUCCUCCUGCCUCAGCCUCCCAAGCAGCUAGGACUACAGGCAUGCACCACCGUAACCAUGCCCAGAUCCAUUUUUCACCCUACCUGGCAAUCUCAAAAGAAGUCCAAAGUUGAUCAUAUGCACGUGCCCCAGAUGAAGGAAACAGAAACUGUUCACAUAGAGUGCAGUAUUAUCGUUGCCAUUUCAUAAUGGCUCUAAAAAACUUUGUUCUUCAUGACUUCGCAAGCUCUUGCAACCCCUUCCAAUAAACAUUAUUU
Molecule: long non-coding RNA, 19400 nt
Filed under: Homo sapiens (human)
Lineage: Eukaryota; Metazoa; Chordata; Mammalia; Primates; Hominidae
Description: HSALNT0321268
Source: RNAcentral